UGGGGAAUAUUGCACAAUGGGCGCAAGCCUGAUGCAGCAACGCCGCGUGAGGGACGACGGCCUUCGGGUUGUAAACCUCUUUUGGCAGGGAAGAAGCGAAAGUGACGGUACCUGCAGAAAAAGCACCGGCUAACUACGUGCCAGCAGCCGCGGUGAUACGUAGGGUGCAAGCGUUGUCCGGAAUUAUUGGGCGUAAAGAGCUCGUAGGCGGUUUGUCGCGUCUGCUGUGAAAACCCGAGGCUCAACCUCGGGCCUGCAGUGGGUACGGGCAAACUAGAGUGCGGUAGGGGAGAUUGGAAUUCCUGGUGUAGCGGUGGAAUGCGCAGAUAUCAGGAGGAACACCGAUGGCGAAGGCAGAUCUCUGGGCCGUAACUGACGCUGAGGAGCGAAAGCAUGGGG
RNAcentral lists this ribosomal RNA (399 nucleotides) under uncultured bacterium. RNAcentral describes it as "bacterial SSU rRNA". It matches the Rfam family "Bacterial small subunit ribosomal RNA", at positions 355 to 766 of the family's 1533-position model. The record is from RNAcentral.